Zea mays is the source of this 1156-nucleotide long non-coding RNA. RefSeq lists it as uncharacterized. The transcript has 2 exons. The record is from RefSeq and is a predicted model, not a curated record. NCBI's taxonomy places the organism in Eukaryota, Viridiplantae, Streptophyta, Magnoliopsida, Poales, Poaceae.
AAAUCUAGCACGCGCCACUCUUUCUGGCAGCCGCCGCCAGGAUGCCUCCACUCUUUCUCCCUCUUCUCUCCUCCCCUUGCUCUUCUCUGGCCGCCGCCACUUGCCAGGACUUCCUGCAGCAGAGCGCCCCUGCAGCUCCUUGCACCUGCAUCCUACGCGCGCUCCAGCCGACCACGCCCAGGAACCAGUGCAGCGCUCCAUCAUCAGUAGGUGACUGACGGCACAUGCGCCACCAUGCCAAUCAUCCAUAUGAUCCGUCUCCCACAUGCCUGCGCUGCAAACGGGCAGGGUCGUUGUGUCUACGCUGCGGCUGCGGCUACCGACGGCGUCCUGAUUGGACUAUUGGAGAGGAGAGGAAGCCGUCGUGCCGCGUGACAACAAUGCUGCGGCUGGACGGACGUGUCGGCGAGCAGUCCAGCUUGCCGCUGCGUGUCCAACCCCAAGGUCAAGGCCGGCCGAGGCUCCACAACCUCUCAACUCCAUAACAGCCAGCUGCUCCUCGUGACAUGCGUGCACAUGUGCUGUUAGUUGCACUGCAUUAUAUGUUGCAUGUACGCACACAAGCCAUUGCUGCCAUUCCUAUCAAUAAUCUGCGGUUGUUGGAUGGAGGGUCGUCUCCUGGGGUUAUUCUAUCGUUUAGCCGUCCUCUUGGCGAGUUCAGAUGAAGCCAUGGAAUGUAUAUCGGAAGAUGCCAGCUGAAUGUCUCCAUGCUUAUUUGGAUUUCCCUCUAAAGUUAGCUUUAAAUUAUAGCUUAUAUCUCACACUAAAAUUUUAGAGUUUAUUUUUGAAGUUCUUUAAAUUUUUAGAGCUCUAAAAUUUACUAUGCUAUGAAAUUGUGUUUCUUAAGGUGAUGAGGAACAAGUUUGCUACCGAGGAUGAGUAAGACAAUGAAGAAUAUUGUGCUUCUGAAGAUGAGGAAUUAGAUGAUGAGGAUGAUCAAAUAUUUCAUUAGAUGCAAGGUGCAAACUCACCAAAAUCUACAAGGCACUUUGCUGAAGCUUCACACUCUAAACAUGAUGAUCUAGCUAGCUAUCUGUAAAUGAUCUAGUUGUGAAUGAUAUUAUAAUUGUGAUGCUUUUGUGAAUAUAUAAUUGUGUUGCUUUUGUGUUUAUGUGAUGGAUCUAUGACUAUGGUAUACCGAUUAACUGUGUGUCUU